Molecule: ribosomal RNA, 98 nt
Filed under: Streptococcus pneumoniae CDC3059-06
Lineage: Bacteria; Bacillati; Bacillota; Bacilli; Lactobacillales; Streptococcaceae
Also listed under: 1 other name
Source: RNAcentral
UUAAGUGACGAUAGCCUAGGAGAUACACCUGUACCCAUGCCGAACACAGAAGUUAAGCCCUAGAACGCCGGAAGUAGUUGGGGGUUGCCCCCUGUGAG